GACGAACGCUGGCGGCGUGCUUAACACAUGCAAGUCGAGCGGUAAGGCCCUUUCGGGGUACGACGAGCGGCGAACGGGUAGAGUAACACGUGGGUGGACCUCGCCCUCCAGCUCUGGGAGUAAGCCUCGGGAAACCGGGGUACCUAAUACCGGAUAUGACUCCAUGACGCAUGUUGUGGGGUGGAAAGCCUUGUGCGGCUGAGGAUGGGCCCGGCGGCCUAUCAGCUUGUUGGUGGGGUGAUGGCCUACCAAGGCGACGACGGGUAGCCGGCCUGAGAGGGCGACCGGCCACACUGGGACUGAGACACGGCCCAGACU
RNAcentral lists this ribosomal RNA (318 nucleotides) under uncultured bacterium. Its description in RNAcentral is "bacterial SSU rRNA". It matches the Rfam family "Bacterial small subunit ribosomal RNA", at positions 28 to 337 of the family's 1533-position model. The record is from RNAcentral.